ACACGGACCAAGGAGUCUAACAUGUGUGCGAGCCAUUGGGCGAACUAAACCCAAGGGCGUAGUGAAAGCGAAGGACACGUUGGUGUCUUAGGGACGAUACCCUUCGGGGUCGCAGUCUCGGCGCUUUGCAUCGACCUCGCAUCGUGCAGAGCAGCAAGAGCAUACACGUUGGGACCCGAAAGAUGGUGAACUAUGCCUGGCCAGGUUGAAGUCAGGGGAAACCCUGAUGGAGGACCGUAGCGAUUCUGACGUGCAAAUCGAUCGUCGGAGCUGGGUAUAGGGGCGAAAGACUAAUCGAACCAUCUAGUAGCUGGUUCCUUCCGAAGUUUCCCUCAGGAUAGCUGGCGCUCAUUUAACGAGUUUCAUCCGGUAAAGCGAAUGAUUAGAAGUCUUGGGGACGAAACGUCCUCAACUUAUUCUCAAACUUUAAAUGGGUGAGAAGCGAGACUUGCUUAAGUGAAGUCUCGCAACGAAUCGGAGUGCCAAGUGGGCCAUUUUUGGUAAGCAG
RNAcentral lists this ribosomal RNA (508 nucleotides) under Cyclops borealis. RNAcentral's name for it is "partial 28S ribosomal RNA". It matches the Rfam family "Eukaryotic large subunit ribosomal RNA", at positions 659 to 1147 of the family's 3401-position model. The record is from RNAcentral. Lineage: Eukaryota; Metazoa; Arthropoda; Copepoda; Cyclopoida; Cyclopidae.